This 254-nucleotide ribosomal RNA is filed under the name uncultured bacterium. RNAcentral's name for it is "partial 16S ribosomal RNA". It matches the Rfam family "Bacterial small subunit ribosomal RNA", at positions 524 to 776 of the family's 1533-position model. The record is from RNAcentral.
UACGUAGGGGGGCAAGCGUUGUCCGGAAUCAUUGGGCGUAAAGCGCGUGUAGGCGGCUCGAUAAGUCUGCUGUGAAAGUCCAGGGCUCAACCCUGGGAUGCCGGUGGAUACUGUCGAGCUCGAGUCCGGAAGAGGCGAGUGGAAUUCCUGGUGUAGCGGUGAAAUGCGCAGAUAUCAGGAGGAACACCUGUGGCGAAGGCGGCCCCCUGGGCCGGCCCUGACACUGAGACGCGAAGGCGUGGGGAGCGAACAGG